UACGUAGGGGGCAAACGUUGUCCGGAAUCAUUGGGCGUAAAGAGCGUGUAGGCGGCUCGAUAAGUCCGCUGUGAAAGUCCAGGGCUCAACCCUGGAAGGCCGGUGGAAACUGUCGGGCUAGAGUCCGGAAGAGGCGAGUGGAAUUCCCGGUGUAGCGGUGAAAUGCGCAGAUAUCGGGAGGAACACCAAUGGCGAAGGCAGCUCGCUGGGACGGUACUGACGCUGAGACGCGAAAGCGUGGGGAGCAAACAGG
RNAcentral lists this ribosomal RNA (253 nucleotides) under uncultured bacterium. RNAcentral's name for it is "partial 16S ribosomal RNA". It matches the Rfam family "Bacterial small subunit ribosomal RNA", at positions 524 to 776 of the family's 1533-position model. The record is from RNAcentral.